GAUGAACGCUGGCGGCGUGCCUAACACAUGCAAGUCGGACGGAGAUUACGGACGGAAGUUUUCGGAUGGAAGCCUGUAAUUCUUAGUGGCGGACGGGUGAGUAACGCGUGGGCAACCUGCCCUAUACAGGGGGAUAGCAGCUGGAAACGGCUGGUAAGACCGCAUAAGUCGGUUAAAUCGCAUGAUUUGAUCGGGAAAUGAGCAAUCAGGUAUAGGAUGGGCCCGCGUCCGAUUAGCCAGUUGGCAGGGUAAAAGCCUACCAAAGCGACGAUCGGUAGCCGGACUGAGAGGUCGGACGGCCACAUUGGGACUGAGACACGGCCCAAACUCCUACGGGAGGCAGCAGUGGGGGAUAUUGCACAAUGGAGGAAACUCUGAUGCAGCGACGCCGCGUGAGUGAAGAAGUAUUUCGGUAUGUAAAGCUCUAUCAGCAGGGAAGAUGAUGACGGUACCUGACUAAGAAGCCCCGGCUAACUACGUG
This 481-nucleotide ribosomal RNA is filed under the name uncultured bacterium. RNAcentral describes it as "partial 16S ribosomal RNA". It matches the Rfam family "Bacterial small subunit ribosomal RNA", at positions 28 to 507 of the family's 1533-position model. The record is from RNAcentral.